Mycena metata is the source of this 123-nucleotide non-coding RNA. NCBI's taxonomy places the organism in Eukaryota, Fungi, Basidiomycota, Agaricomycetes, Agaricales, Mycenaceae. The record is from the annotation of a GenBank genome assembly.
GGCCGCCUGGCGAAAUGGCAUCGCGUCUGACUACGACGGGGCCCUAACGGGUAAUCUAUCAGGCUGGCGGGCUCAUGGGGGGUGCAUCGACGGAGAUUGCAGGUUCGAGACCUGCGGUGGUCA